AAUUGCCUUUGGUAUCUGAUGCCUUGACUUGUUUUGAUAGCUGGGUAUCUCGUUAACAAGGCAUACAUGAAUAAAACAGGUCUUGCGACACAGAAUGCUUGUUACCAUAAGCUUCUAGUUACUAUUUCCCUGUUUACAUAU
Small nucleolar RNA from Magnolia sinica, 141 nucleotides. RefSeq annotates it as small nucleolar RNA F1/F2/snoR5a. The transcript has a single exon. NCBI's taxonomy places the organism in Eukaryota, Viridiplantae, Streptophyta, Magnoliopsida, Magnoliales, Magnoliaceae. The record is from RefSeq and is a predicted model, not a curated record.